Molecule: ribosomal RNA, 444 nt
Filed under: uncultured bacterium
Lineage: Bacteria
Description: bacterial SSU rRNA
Rfam family: Bacterial small subunit ribosomal RNA
Source: RNAcentral
GACGAACGCUGGCGGCGUGCCUAACACAUGCAAGUCGAACGGAGUCGGCCCCGCAAGGGACUGACUUAAGUGGCGAACGGGUGAGUAACGCGUGAGCAACCUGCCUUUCAGUGGGGGACAACAGUUGGAAACGACUGCUAAUACCGCAUAAUGCAUUUUGACCGCAUGAUCGAGAUGCCAAAGAUUUAUUGCUGAAAGAUGGGCUCGCGUCUGAUUAGAUAGUUGGUGGGGUAACGGCCCACCAAGUCGACGAUCAGUAGCCGGACUGAGAGGUUGAACGGCCACAUUGGGACUGAGAUACGGCCCAGACUCCUACGGGAGGCAGCAGUGGGGAAUAUUGGGCAAUGGGGGAAACCCUGACCCAGCAACGCCGCGUGAAGGAACGAAGGCUUUCGGGUUGUAAACGUUCUUUUACCAGGGUACGAAGAAAGUGACGGUACCUGG